UAAUAUAGAAGGAUGAUUUUUCAG
This 24-nucleotide small nuclear RNA is filed under the name Arabidopsis thaliana (thale cress). RNAcentral describes it as "snRNA_05714". Lineage: Eukaryota; Viridiplantae; Streptophyta; Magnoliopsida; Brassicales; Brassicaceae. The record is from RNAcentral.